ACGGGAGGCAGCAGUGGGGGAUAUUGCACAAUGGGCGAAAGCCUGAUGCAGCAAUGCCGCGUGAGGGAAGAAGGUUUUCGGAUUGUAAACCUCUGUCCCUGAUGACGAAGACAGUGACGGUAAUCAGGGAGGAAGCCACGGCUAACUACGUGCCAGCAGCCGCGGUAAUACGUAGGUGGCAAGCGUUGUCCGGAAUUACUGGGUGUAAAGGGAGCGCAGGCGGGAAGAUAAGUCAGCGGUGAAAACUAUGGGCUCAACCCAUAGACUGCCGUUGAAACUGUUUUUCUUGAGUGAAGUAGAGGCAGGCGGAAUUCCGAGUGUAGCGGUGAAAUGCGUAGAUAUUCGGAGGAACACCAGUGGCGAAGGCGGCCUGCUGGGCUUUUACUGACGCUGAGGCUCGAAAGUGUGGGGAGCAAACAGGAUUAGAUACCCUGGUA
This 437-nucleotide ribosomal RNA is filed under the name uncultured Clostridiales Family IV bacterium. RNAcentral describes it as "bacterial SSU rRNA". It matches the Rfam family "Bacterial small subunit ribosomal RNA", at positions 341 to 792 of the family's 1533-position model. Lineage: Bacteria; Bacillati; Bacillota; Clostridia; Eubacteriales; Eubacteriales Family IV. Incertae Sedis. The record is from RNAcentral.